This 586-nucleotide long non-coding RNA is filed under the name Dermacentor andersoni. RNAcentral's name for it is "uncharacterized LOC126516631". Lineage: Eukaryota; Metazoa; Arthropoda; Arachnida; Ixodida; Ixodidae. The record is from RNAcentral.
UAAGGGGACGAAGCUCUCACAUCACUUCAAUGGCUGGGCAGGUUUGUUUAUCCUCUGUUCCCGCAUUUUCUUCAUCCACCUUCUGUACUUUCGUUCAUUUCUGACAAAUUCACGCGCGAACAAUGGCGUUGAUAAAUCUUUGCACACGUGCGUUUUCACUCAAGUCGUGUGCGUAAUAGUGUUCUUCCACUGCGUAAGCGAAGAGACCAAACGUUAGAGCCCCUGAUCGUUCGAAUUGCCGCGCUGUCCACCAUUCGGGUAAAUUGGAAUGCCAUGAAGACCGAUUUGUGACUGAAGUCUGCUCUUUUGCGUUCGAAACGUUGGGAAACUCAGCUGACCAAACUGCAGGUUAUUGUAAAAUGUUUUCGUGUGAAUGCUAUGUGCUUUCUGUCAUAUAUAUGUUGGCCAUUGAUGAGAGUGCAAAUCUGACUGGUAGGUCUGUAGGAUGCCAAAGCAAAGCUGCCCUGUAAACCGUUACUGUUCAUGAGUCCGCUCCUGCAGCCGUCAUAUGACCACUUGUGGGCAACCCAUGAAUGUACCUUGCUCUGGACGCUGUCGCAUCACCUGUGCUGCAAACUAGCAUUGG